UACGUAGGGGGCGAGCGUUGUCCGAAGUUACUGGGUUUAAAGGGUGUGUAGGCGGGCAGUUAAGUCAGUGGUGAAAUCUCCAGGCUCAACCUGGAAACUGCCAUUGAUACUAUCUGUCUUGAAUUCUGUUGAGGUGGGCGGAAUACAUCAUGUAGCGGUGAAAUGCUUAGAUAUGAUGUAGAACACCGAUUGCGAAGGCAGCUCACUAAGCAGCGAUUGACGCUGAGGCACGAAAGCGUGGGGAUCAAACAGG
This 253-nucleotide ribosomal RNA is filed under the name uncultured bacterium. RNAcentral describes it as "partial 16S ribosomal RNA". It matches the Rfam family "Bacterial small subunit ribosomal RNA", at positions 524 to 776 of the family's 1533-position model. The record is from RNAcentral.